UGUUUUGUCAAUGUGGAACCAUUGUCUCGUUGUCCCUCCUACUGCAAUAAUUACUGUGACACCUGUCUUUUUAUAUGCGUUGGACACGCCUUCCAACUUCCCUUUUGUCCACGAUAACUGGAGAGGUAGGCGUGCAUGCGACGACAGAAAUAUUGUCAUGUUAAGAAUUUAAGUUCACUAUCUUUUUCUGUAUUAUAUUUGUGUAGGGACUUGACGAUGGAAACAAAGUUAUUGACGACAAUUGUAUGUUCUGUAUUGUCAGGUAUGUUUAUUUCACUGUUGUACUGCCCUUUUGUCCACGAUAACGGGAGAGGGACUUGACGAUGGAAACAAAGUGAUUGACGACAAUUGUAUGUUCUGUAUUGUCAGUAAAGUGCAGCUGAGCAAUCCAUGGUGUCGGUCGUGUUCCAUUAAAGCCACACAACGCAGAGGAAAAGACCACCGGUUACACUUGGUGGUCGACCAGCGCUCGUCUGGUGCCCGGGAAAAGCUGCUGGAGUUCCCGCCCGCUGCACUCGGCUGCUCCUCCCUCCCUCUCCCUUCCUGUCGCCGAGGACAACGGCGCGCGCUCCCGCGUGCGCGCGAGGUGUGCUGACAAAUCACGCUGUUUUAAAGUGUGUGCGCGUGAUUUAAGCUUGUUUUUGUUUGUGCUGGUGACUUUAUAAUAUCCAGCUGGUACAUUUUAUGAACAUUUUUGUGACAGUUAGUCCUGUCAUAGCAGAAAGAAAAGUGGUGAAUGGGCAAGCCUGUUUGUAUUAGUGUUUAUUGAAGCCUUUUGAUGGUGUUUUAUUUUCUGUUCAUCUAUUAAUCGGUGUGGGCUUAUGAGAGGCUAUACGCCCUAAUAGCACAGGGGGGGAAUUUUUUUCUUCUUCUCAUGCUACAGUGCUGUGCUAUGUAUUGAUUUGUCAGGGGCUAUUUACGGUGGGCUUUACAAUGAGUUUUUUUUUAUGUGUCAACUUGUGUCGCUAUUGCCCUUGUUUUGCUAUACUGCCUUCGUGGGGAUUUCUCUUUGUUGUUAUAGUGAAACAUUUGCAUAGUAUUCGAGAUUCCUACAAUGGCUGGUCGUGGGCAUAGUGUAGGGGUGGGCAAUUAAUUUUUUACCGGGGGCCGCAUGAGCUACCCGAGCACUGCUGGAGGGCCACAUCGACAAUAUUUCAAUUAAAUUUUGCUCAAUAUUAUUUUUGAUAUAUACCGUAAGAUAAAUAAUAAUAAUAAUAGUAAUACUUCAACAUAGUGUGUGUAACAGCCUUCCAUGACUAAUAUAAAUAAAUUAACAUUAAUAAUAAAUGACAGUAAAAUAAGCACACGUAUGACUGAGGAGUCAUAGUGUAACUUUGUGUGGUGUUUGAGUUGUCCGACUUUUUGUGUGGCCUUAAACGCACCAGUGGUUUAGUGCUAUGCGUGUUGGUGACAGAUGACAAGUUGGUUUUGGCCUGGUUUGUACGGCAGAAAAUGACGAGUUUUUCGAGAUAGAAUUGUUUUACUCAUGUUUUUGGUGUGGUUAUGUCCGAAUAUAAACAGUUUUGUUCAAUAAAGUGAUCGAUAUAAUUCCUGACCUCGAAGCAUCUCGAUAGACUUUACAAUAAUUGAACGGUGUUGACGAACACCAUUAGGGCCGCUUGUUGUCACUGUCACUCAAAAGUUGCAUUGCAAAAUUCCAUAGAAUAAAUAUGUUUAUUUUGUUUAGAAUUCAGAUGGGAUUUGAUUUGGUGCGCGGCAUAUACUUGCUGCGCGCAGCGGACGCUUGAGCAGUGCGCAAUUGCGCAGGCACGCACCUUAGGUGAGGGGACGUUGCUUUGCAGUUCAUGUGUUGUUGAAAACACUGCAUUCCUCAUCAACUUUUCUCUUUUUGGCGUCUCGGGUGUAAACCGUGCAUCACUUGUCGCUGCAUGUGCACCUUCACUCGCAGGUUACACACGGACACACGCCCAUAAAUAAUACUUUUCAAAAUAAAAGCAGCACAGUUGUAUUGCGCGCAGGACAUAGAUGUUUUUUCAACUUUAUUUUGUAAUUGCAGUUGUUCACAUUCACUCACAAUCACGCAUACGUCCACACGGAAGUAAUACAAAUAACGAUUUUCAGAACAAAAGCAGCACCGUUGUAUUGCACACUCGACAUAGAUACUUUUUAAAAUUUAUUUUGUAAUUUAUAAUUGGCCUCACGCGGGCCGGACAGGGACGCACAAAGGGCCGGAUGCGGCCCGCGGGCCGCAGAAUGCCCAGGUCUGGCAUAGUGUCACAUUUGGAAUGGGGAGGGGUAGGUUGGUGUCAAGCAGUCCUAACUUCAUGAUAGACCAACCAGUUUUUAACCCGCUACUGACCCCCAUCUCUAGCUCUACGCCAGUUACUCAAGCAGUGCGUGAACCCACACAAGUCAUAUCUGUUGAUGCUUUUGGAGAGAUGAUCACAACUUUAGCUAAACAGAUAGGAGACAACAUCUCUGCCAACAUCAGCAUGAUGCACCAGCCAAGUGCAUUUCAGCCUCAGUCCACCGCUGUGAGCCCUUCCUCCAGGCAUGAUGGUUCGCCACAAGUGAAAGUUGUUGUGCAGCCUGACGUCAAAGCACCACCUUACUUUAGGGGCGAUAAUGCUGAUGUGUUCUCAAUUCAUGAAUGGGUAGAUAUGAUGAAAUGUUACCUAGAGUAAAAUGUGACAGUCCUCCUGAAAUGUUUGAGCUAAUUAUGUCCAGACUAACAGGCAAAGCGAGGGAUGUUGUAAAGGUGUCGCUGCGCAGCCGCCCUGAACUGAAUACAGCUGACCUGCCCACUGCAGUUUGACAUUUUGAAAGGUAACUUCAGUGAGCUAUCAUAUUCUAACGUGCCUAUGAAAGACUUUUACUGCACUAUUCCCCAUUCUGUUGAGAGUGCUAUGGACUACUGGAUCCAUCUUAACAAGUCCAUUGAUGCUGCUGAUGUGUCUCCAUAGGCGGGGCAAAUCUGUUAAGGACCCCAGUGCUGAAGUUGUCAUGAUGUUUAAUAACCACUGUCCUGACCCUCAUCUUGCCUUGUUGUUUCAACUAAAGACGCCUGAGCAGUGGACUGCAGCUGAGGUUCAGGAGCGUCUGGAUGCUCACAUAAGAAAGGUUAGAACGACAGCAGCCCAGUCUCAAUGUGUGAUGGGCUUGUCAGCUUACAAUCAAAGCCCAGUGACUGAUUAUUCUUCGCCGCAGGCCGUCUCGGUAACACGCCAACAGUCGUUGCUUUCUGUUCCUCAACCUUCCCCUGGCCUUUCCUGCAGUCAGCCUCCUUCUGAUGCACUUGUGGCUGUCGCACAUCAGUCCACCUCCCCAUUCCACCCAUCUUCUGCUGUCAAUGUGGCACCGGCCGCUUUUGACCCACCAGCUAACGACCCUGGUGCUCAAGUUGUGGCCAUGUUUGAUAAGGUUCUGUCCUUGUGCAAUGCAUCUUUGGCUAACAAUCAAAGACCAGGAGGCCAAAGGUCAGGCACCCGUCAGACUGUUCAACCCAGAAACCAUCAAAGUUCUGUGGCAGUCACGUGUCGAGUAUGUACUUCCAGUGAACAUUCAACUCAUGCACACUGUAAACUCUACAGAUUGUGCCUCAACUGUUUGAGACCUGGUCACAUGAAGCGUGAGUGCCCACAGGCCUCACAUUCCCCGGCUAUACCGCCAUCUUUUCCACCCAAUGCUGAUUUAAACUAACCCGCCUGUGUAGUGAGAGGGGUAGCAUGGGCGAAGCUAGUAGCACCCUCAGUGAAAAUGAAGAUGUGCAAUUGACCUAUGUGAACUGUUGUAGUAGCCUUUCUGAAGACAAAACAGUGAUUGUUGUGGGUUCCCAUAGAGUGGAAGGAGCUAGUGAGUUGUUUUAUGCUCCAGUGUCUGUGGGGGGCCAGUCUGUUUUAAGAGGGAUGCUUGAUUCAGGUAGCAUGUCAUGCACGCUAAAUGUGGAGGCGGAGUCAAAGCUUAGAGCUGUUGGGCUACUCCCUAGUCCUCGGCCUGUGCCGGAGAAGGUGGUCCUUGUUGGCUGUGGUGGCCUUAUGACACAACCCAGGUGCAUUUAUGACCUUGAAAUUGAAGUUUAUGGGUCUAAGUUAAUUGUGCCAACUCUACUUGUUCCAGGGCAGAAAGAUGAGAUGAUCAUUGGGACCAAUGUCAUAAGACCCAUUAUACAGACAAUGAAGUCUGAUAAUAAGUACUGGCAGCUGGUCUGCUCCAAUACUUCUGACCCCAAUUGUGAACAGUUUCUUGGACUACUCAGCUGCAUUACAUGCUGGUCUGGUCCGGAAAUGCCUGAAAAAGUUGGUACAGUCAAGCUAAGACAAUCUGUCACUCUUGCACCUCAGGGAGAGUCUCUAGUAUGUGGGAAGCUGCCCAACAGUGCUCCUGUGUCACCUGGGAGUACUGUCAUUGUGGAGCCCACCUCUUCCCGUUCUACCCCUAGAGACAUCAUUGUUGGCCGGGUCGUGACACCCAUGUGGGGUAAUCGUUGGGUCCCAAUGAAGAUCCUGAACCCAACAAAGAGACUUGUGACACUGCGCCGUAACGCUAAGGUAGCAGAUGUUUUUCCUUGUAUUGCAAUGGAAGACCUUCCUUUGUCACAGAGUGUGUGUAUGCAGCAGACCUGUGAGGGAAGUGACCCAGCCUCCAAGUCAGGUACCGCCUCUAAUCCCCUUCAGCAGCUUAAAGAUUGUGGCUUGGCGGAUGUUGAUCUUGAAGGCUGUGAAGUAUCAGAGGAAUGGAAACAGCGACUUGCUGAACUGGUCCUCACCUACGAAGAUGUAUUUUCUAAAGACAAGCUGGACUGUGGCGAGGCAAAGGAUUUUGUCCACCGAAUCCACCUCACUGAUGAUCGCCCUUUUAGACUCCCCUAUCGCCGUGUCCCUCCAGCUCACUAUCAUAAGCUGAGAGAGGUGCUGUCUGAGAUGGAGUUUAAAGGAAUCAUCAGCAAGUUAGUCAGUGAGUAUGCCUCACCCCUUGUUCUAGUCUGGAAGAAGUCAGGGGAGUUGAGGAUCUGCACGGACUUCCGCUGGCUUAACGCCAAGACCGUGAAGGAUGCACACCCGCUACCCCACCAGGCUGACUGUCUUGCCGCCCUUGGUGGAAAUGCCUUUUUCAGUACCAUGGAUCUCACAUCGGGGUUUUACAACGUCCCCCUCCAUGAGUCUGACAGGCGGUAUACGGCCUUCACAACACCCUUAGGCCUAUACGAGUACAACAGACUUCCCCAGGGCUUGUGCAACAGCCCCGCAUCCUUUAUGCGGAUGAUGAUCAGCAUCUUUGGGGUCUUGAACUUCUCCAGCCUCCUCUGCUAUUUGGAUGGCCUGCUCGUGUUUGCUCCAUCCGAAGAAGAAGCCCUGAAGCGGCUGGAGAGUGUCUUCCUGCGUCUCAGAGCCAACAACCUGAAACUGGCGCAGAGGAAGUGCUACUUCUUGCGUAGGACCGUGAAGUUUCUGGGUCAUGUAGUGAACAGCGGUGGUGUUGCAGUCGACCAGGAGAAAGUCAAAGUCAUCUCCGCUUUUGAAAAAAAAGAUCUUAUGGAGGAGAUGACGGCUGCACCCCAUCACAGUGGAAAGUCAAGUCCUUCCUGGGCAUGGUGCUGUACUACCAGCAUUUCAUCCCUGGCUGUUCUUCUUUUGCAAAGCCACUUUACACAUUGACUGCAGGACAGAAGAGGAGUGCCAAGAGCUCCUUUGGGCGGAGAAGAGCAGGCACCUUCAGAAAACUGACUCCUCAGGACUGGACUUCUGCUUGUGAGAAGGCGUUUGAGGAUCUGAAGAGUGCACUUCUUAAUAGUGUGGUGCUGGCACACCCAGACUUUGAAAGGCCCUUCAUCCUCUGCACCGAUGCAUCCCUUGAUGGUCUGGGUGCGGUCCUGUCCCAGGUCCCUGAUGGCGAAGAACGAGCGAGACCCAUUGCUUUUGCAAGCAAAACUCUCAGCCGCAGCCAAGUCAACUACCCUGCUCACAGACUGGAGUUCUUAGCCCUUAAAUGGGCAGUUUUUGAUAAAUUCAGCCACUGGCUCAAGGGUCACAUGUUUACUGUCUGGUCGGAUAACAACCCCCUCACUCACAUCCUGACUAAGCCAAAACUAGAUGCCUGUGAGCAGCGGUGGGUCUCCAAGUUGGCUCCAUAUAAUUUUGAGAUUAAGCACAUCCCUGGCAGGCAGAAUGUGGUGGCAGAUGCACUCAGUAGAGACCCAUUUGUGACUCCUUUGAGGGAGCGGCUGCUGGGUGAGCCCUAUGCUAAGCUGCUGAAUCGGGUCUGUGAUGUCAGUGAUGGAUGUGUGCAGGAUGCGUUCCGCUUCACUUGCCAGCCACCAUCACUGAGGUGUCAUCCUCACAUUGACACCAUUGAAAGUUCAAUGUCUGAAGAAGAUGUCUCUUCAAUCCGUUCUUCUUUGGAUGAAUGGGACAGUGCUCCUCGCCAGCGUGCUACCUCACUAGCUGACCACCUCACAACAUUGGAACCUCCUGGCCAAGACACUUUGCCUUCCCUAUCACUUGCUGACCUUCAGUCUCACCAACAAAGAGACCCAGUCAUCUUAAGAGCUACUUAUUAUGUUGACAGAAAACGCAGGCCCUCCAGACGCGAACGUUGUAAUGAAAAUCAGCUAACUCUGAGAGUAUUGAAACAGUGGGAUAGGCUGAUGCUUCUGGAUGGCAUCCUCUAUAGCAGGGGUGUCAAAAUCAUUUUAGCUCAGGGGCCGCACGGAGGAAAAUCUGUGCACACGCGGGCCGGACUAUUACAACCAUAGCAUUAAAACAAAAAAAAAACUUCAGAUUGUUUUCUUUGUCUUACUUUGGCCAAAAAUAGAACAAACACAUUCUGAAAAUAUUACAAUAAAAUAUGGAAAAAAAUACAAGCAGCGGUAAAGUUUAGAUCAGGGGUAUCAAACUAAUUUUAGAUCGGGGGCCACAUGGAGGAAAAUCUAUGCCCAAGUGGGCCAGACUGGUAAAAUCAUGGCACAAUAACUUAAAAAUAAAGAAAACUUCAGAUUGUUUUCUUUGUUUAAAAAUAGAGUCACAAAGGACCCUUUGACCAAGAAGAAGAGGUACCAGUUUGUUGUGCCAGAGUCCUUGAAGGCAGACGCACUGUCUGGCGUUCAUGACCAAGCUGGUCAUCAAGGUCAGCCCCGCACUCUUGCUUUAGCUCGCCACCGUUUUUUCUGGUAUGACAUGGAGAAGGAUGUCCGCAGUUACGUGAAACAGUGCCGCAGGUGUGUCCUUAGCAAGACCCCCCGAGCCUUCAACAAGGGCCUCGCUACAAAGCAUCAAGACCUCUGCUCCCCUAGAGCUUGUGUGUGUUGACUUUUGGACAGCUGAAGACAGCCACAACAAAUCUGUGGAUGAUCUUGUAGUCACUGAUCACUUUACGAAAUUGGCACAUGCUUUUCCUUGUCAGGACCAGACUGCAAAGAGGGUUGCUAGGAAAUUAUGGGACAGCUUCUUCUGCAUUUACGGCUUCCCCCAGCGCCUUCAUUCAGACCAGGGUGCAAAUUUUGAAAGUGAACUGAUUGCUGAACUCUUGAUGUUGUCAGGAGUUGACAAGUCUCACACUUCCCCCUACCAUCCUAUGGGAAACGGUGGGACGAAGCGGUUUAACCGCACCUUAGGCAACAUGUUGAGAUCAUUGCCCCCUCGCUCCAAGCAGAAAUGGCCCCAAAUGAUCCAGACAAUGACUUUUGUGUAUAAUUGCACUGUGCAUGAGACGACUGGGUUUGCGCCUUUUUAUUUGAUGUUUGGGAGAACCCCGAGAUUGCCGGUAGAUCUCCUCUUUAAGAAUGUGUUUCGGGAUGAGACUGUGUGUGACUAUAACAUAUAUGUAAAGUCCCUUUUAGAGGACCUGCAUUGUGCUAUGACACUUGCCCAGAAGAACUGCUCUGCUGAGCAGAAGCAUCAGAGCAACCAGUACAACAGAAGGGUCAAAGGUCAGCCUCUUUCACUUGGCGACCAGGUGCUGUUGGCAAACAAAGGUGUCAAAGGGAAGCGUAAACUUUCUGACAAGUGGUUGCCUGUUAUACACACUGUGGUGGCCUCAAAACCCGACCUGCACAUCUACCGGAUCAAGGAUCCAGAGGGGAAUGAACCGUAACCUGUUGCUCCAGGUUAACUUCCUGCCGUUAGACGGAGCUUUGGAUGAUGAUGCUGGACCAGUGGUCAUGCCUGCCACAGCAGUAUUUAAUGGGUGUGAGUCAGAGGUGUCAGAUACGGCAGCUGCAACUGUUGAGACAUCCCAUGCUGGUUCCCUCUUGAGUGCUGAUGCUUGUGAUGAUGGCCGUACUGCCUCUUGGGUCCAUGAGCAGUCUUCCUUUGAUGAGCCUCAGUGUUCAGAGUCCGCUGAAGUAGUCUCCCCUACAGACAGUGGCCAUAUUGCUGCUCUGGAUCCCCGAUAGCUCUACCUGCUCCCUCACUGCAAUUAGUCCCAGUUGGUCCACCUCAAACAUCUGGUGCUGAGAACCAAUUUGCCUCACGGUUAGGCAGAGUCAUUAAACCUGUUUACCGUUUAAUAGAGUCCAUGGUUCAACUUGAGUCCAUAUUAGGGGUCGAGCCAGGCUCCCAUACUGUUAUUAAUGUGUGAGAUAUGACCAGAAAGCUGUUUUAUGCUGCUCUUUGUGUGGACUCAAUGUUCUGAAAAACUAAUGUUUCCCUACUCACCCACAAUGUUUGGCCUGUGUAUGCGUGGUGUAUAAGGCACCUCACCUUGUCUAUAGAGUACUAUGAGUUCUUGCUAGGCGCCAAGCAAGUCUUGUUCUCUUAUCCUUUAAAUAGGAAGCGUAUAUUGCUGUUUAAUGCAAAUUUGUGAUUUUCAUGUCCAUUGUGUUUACACAUGCGUACUGUUCUUGCAAACCAGACUUUUGUGUAAUUCUUGGGGGGUGAGUGUAACAGGGUCAAUUAUGUCUUGUAAAUAAUGUAUUUUAUAAUGCUUUAUUAUUGUUAUAAUCACACAAAAUGUGUAAGUUACAUGUAAAUACCUGGAUAUUGUUCAAUGUUUUGUCAAUGUGGAACCAUUGUCUCGUUGUCCCUCCUACUACAAUAAUUACUGUGACACCUGUCUUUUUAUAUGCGUUGGACACGCCUUCCAACUUCCCUUUUGUCCACGAUAACGGGAGAGGGACUUGACGAUGGAAACAAAGUUAUUGACGACAAUUGUAUGUUCUGUAUUGUCAGGUAUGUUUAUUUCACUGUUGUACUGCCCUUUUGUCCACGAUAACAGGAGAGGGACUUGACGAUGGAAACAAAGUUAUUGACGACAAUUGUAUGUUCUGUAUUGUCAGUAAAGUGCAGCUGAGCAAUC
Molecule: RNA transcript, 9252 nt
Organism: Entelurus aequoreus (snake pipefish)
Lineage: Eukaryota; Metazoa; Chordata; Actinopteri; Syngnathiformes; Syngnathidae
Exons: 2
Source: RefSeq, a predicted model, not a curated record